CAGCAGCCGCGGGAAAACGGAGGGUGCAAGCGUUAAUCGGAAUUACUGGGCGUAAAGCGCACGCAGGCGGUCUGUCAAGUCGGAUGUGAAAUCCCCGGGCUCAACCUGGGAACUGCAUUCGAAACUGGCAGGCUAGAGUCUUGUAGAGGGGGGUAGAAUUCCAGGUGUAGCGGUGAAAUGCGUAGAGAUCUGGAGGAAUACCGGUGGCGAAGGCGGCCCCCUGGACAAAGACUGACGCUCAGGUGCGAAAGCGUGGGGAGCAAACAGGAUUAGAUACCCCAGUAGUCCCUGUCUCUUAUAC
This 301-nucleotide ribosomal RNA is filed under the name uncultured bacterium. RNAcentral's name for it is "partial 16S ribosomal RNA". It matches the Rfam family "Bacterial small subunit ribosomal RNA", at positions 509 to 807 of the family's 1533-position model. The record is from RNAcentral.